RNAcentral lists this ribosomal RNA (361 nucleotides) under Marinussaurus curupira. Its description in RNAcentral is "partial 12S ribosomal RNA". It matches the Rfam family "Bacterial small subunit ribosomal RNA", at positions 875 to 1402 of the family's 1533-position model. The record is from RNAcentral. Lineage: Eukaryota; Metazoa; Chordata; Lepidosauria; Squamata; Gymnophthalmidae.
GGGAUUAGAUACCCCACUAUGCCAAGAAAAUUACGGGCACGCCUAAAACUCAAAAGACUUGACGGUGCCCCAACCUACCUAGAGGAGCCUGUUCCAUAAUCGAUAACCCACGAUCAACCCAACCACCCCUCGAAAGCCUAUAUACCGCCGCAGCCUACCUUCUAAAAGCACCCAAAGUAGGCUAAAUAGUACUAAAAAGUCAGGUCAAGGUGUAGCUAAUGAGGUGGCGCUAAUGGGCUACAUUACCUAAAAUAGGUCACAACUAUUUGAAACAUAAACACAAGGCGGAUUUAACAGUAAACCAAGCAAGACUACUUGAUUUAAUANUAGCUCUGGGGCAUGUACACACCGCCCGUCACCC